Molecule: long non-coding RNA, 1645 nt
Filed under: Equus caballus (horse)
Lineage: Eukaryota; Metazoa; Chordata; Mammalia; Perissodactyla; Equidae
Description: lncRNA (ENSECAG00000052253.1)
Source: RNAcentral
CUCUGACUUCCAGGGAGGAGCCGCCAGCUGCCAAUGAUUUAAUCAAUCAUGCCUUCAUAAGGAAGCCUUCCUAAAAACCCAGGAGAGGAUUCGGAGAGCUUCCAGGUUGACGAGCACGUGGAGAUUUGGGGCAAGUAGUGUCUGGAGAAGGCAUGGAAGCUCUGAACACUUCCCACAUACCUUGCCCUAUGCAUCUCUUCCAUCUGGCUGUUCCCGCAUUACAGCCUUUUGUGAUAAGCCAGUGAUCUAGAGUUUUCAGAGCCUUUUCCAGAUUAUUGUUCUUUAUGAAUAUUCGGGAGAGGGUGCUAGUGCACAGCUUUUCUAAGGAUGCUCUUUGGCAAGUAGCUUCACAAUCUGCAGCAUAGAGCAGAUGACUGAGUUGCCAGAAGACCUGACCAUUGGAAAAGUGAGAACGUUAAUGGAGAGAGAAAAACUAAUACAUGGAAAUUCUUUCCCCAUUCAAAUUGGCACAUGUCUUUCUUUCUAGGAAAGUCUAUGGGGCUCACCUUUUUUAUGAAGUUAAAGUCUGUGGAAAUACGAUCAAAGACAAGAAGUUACAGUUUCAAAGCGCCACCAAUUUCAAAUUCCACAGACAUGUACGCAGGCCCCUCUGGAGAAUGUUGCCAUCUCAUGUUAUAUGCGAGUCUGGGAAAAUUACUAUACUCCCACACUGUAUACUUUGAAUAAAGAUUUGUAUUCCUUAUGCAAAAAUAUACAAAUAUGGAAUAUAUUGGAGACACAAUAUCAUUAGCUUUCAGGGGGGAAGAAUCAUUUAUUGCCUACUUUUGGGGAUUUUAUUUAAAGCACACUGUUCUUUACACAGUACUUUACAGUUUAUAAAGCCUUUUUACAAUUGGUAUUUCAUUUGCUCUUCCCAACCUCGUGUAAAGAAAUGUGGGGCAAAUAUUGCUACCCCAUUUUACAAGCAAGCAAAUGGAGAUAGCUGGAGACCAUCUGUGCUUCUCCUAAUAUGGUGAUCCUGCUGUCCCACAUUGCUACGUGCAUAAGGCCAUCCUGCAGUAUUGAGUGGCAAUCUGAGAGCAAAAUAAAAAUGGAAGUAAAUUCAUUUUCCUUGUCUGUUCUGGAACCUCACAAUUACACUCUUUGCUCAGGGCAUAAUUAAAAAGACAAACCUGUGUCUGAACUAUUCUUCCAGUAUAUACUCUGCACUGAAAUAUCUUUAGAAUAAAGUCAAUAAAUAAAAGAAGUUAAACCAUGCUUCUCUGGUAGGUGAGGAGGUGGGGGGCUCUGGGCCUACCUGCUCAUCUCUCCUCUCCCCUUCCUGGCCCCCUCACAUUCUUCCUCUUCUGCUCACCUUUGAAGCACAGUUCGAGAAUCACUCUCUUCAAAAGUAGAUUCCGUGUGUCCUUGGAAAUGUCUAAAUUGAGGCUCUAUUGUAAUAAGUCACAACCUGUUACUGGGAUUCAAAGAGAAAAUGAAUUCAAGUGAGUGAGAACAAAGUCAUUUGCCCAGGAACCCACUGUGAAGGAUGGAGAGCAUUAAAAUUCAAAAAUGAUUUGCAAGUUAAAAAUUCACUCCUGAGCUAAAAUAGGGCAUCUGUUUAAGUCUUUCUCAACUGCUGCUUAUUCUGUCAAUAAGGUUCACUUUUUUUUUUUUGCGUGUUAUCUUUAUAUACUUCUGUGUG